Long non-coding RNA from Eptesicus fuscus (big brown bat), 1078 nucleotides. RefSeq lists it as uncharacterized. The record is from RefSeq and is a predicted model, not a curated record. The transcript is spliced from 3 exons. NCBI's taxonomy places the organism in Eukaryota, Metazoa, Chordata, Mammalia, Chiroptera, Vespertilionidae.
UAUAAAUAGUGGCAGUGGCCUCCUUUCCAUGAUUGGACCUCAGAUGAUUAAUGGGAUUUUGUUUCUAAACUAUGGACGUGUGAAGGUGGACCUCGCUUUUCUGACCCCUCCUCGGUGAGGGAAACCCUCUCCUGCUGGCCUCAAUCCGACACAGCAAGCAGGACGUACUCAGAUGACUUCCAACUUUCUGAGGGCUUAAAUGAAGAGUGUCAAAUUCCUUUACAUGGCAUUGAGACUCCUCCUGGCCACACCUGAUUACCACCAGGCUCAUCUCUAGGACUCGUUGGUUCCUAUGGUUCAAGCCCAAGGAGUCCAUUCUUUUGCCUCCUCCAGGAUUUUCUACAGGACGUGCCUGCUUCCUAGAAUCCUUCUGCACUUGCUCAGUAAUCACAUCCUCAAGAACAGCCCUUCCAUCUGGGUAAGGUGGGCUGCUCCCAGAAUUCCUCCAUUCACACUGCUGGAUAUAAAAGCCUGUGCUUGUAAGACAGCAAGCUCCGUGGGAACAGCUUUCUGCCAUGCUUUGUUUGCAUUGCAUUUAGCCAACAUUAAAGAACAAUGAAUGGAUGAAAGAGUAGCCUUCUGGGAUACAAAGGGACUCAGCCCUGGCUCACUUCCAGAUUCCAGGGGUUUCCUGCAGCCUCCAUCAAAUACCCUCCAGUAUUAAGGGUCCAGGUGUGGACAAAACAUUCACUAAUGGUAACCACAGCCUAGCAAAUAGAAUCAUGGUGCAGUGCAAAGAGCACUUGAAUGGCACCAAAAGAACUGGCUUUACUACUCAGACAAGUCACAUGACCUCGUGGAGCCUCUGUCCCCUCCUCCAUUAUUGCCUGGCACACACCUAGGAAGAAUGGACUCUGUCCAAGGUGCUCCACAUCAACCAGCUCUAAAGCCUCCCGCUUAGGGGUCUAAACCUGGGCAAAGAUGCAGGUCAAGCUUGGUUGGUUGACACAGUGAAAUUAGAAUAUGGCAGCACUCCGGGUCUACCCACAAUGGUCCCUAACGGGGCCAAGAUCAUGAUAUGCUUUGGGGUAUGUCAAUGGAAGAAUUGUGCUUUUUUGAAGGAUCCUGGACUGAGGCA